CCUACGGGUGGCAGCAGUGGGGAAUAUUGGGCAAUUUUCUACAUCCUUCCCCCUCCCCUCCUCUUUCCUGAAGAAUGCUUUCUUUUUUUAAACUUCUUUUGACAGGGAAGAGCAGCAGACGGUACCUGUCGAAUAAGCCACGGCUAACUACGUGCCAGCAGCCGCGGUAAUACGUAGGUGGCAAGCGUUGUCCGGAUUUACUGGGUGUAAAGGGCGUGUAGCCGGGCUGACAAGUCAGAUGUGAAAUCCGGGGGCUCAACCCCCGAACUGCAUUUGAAACUGUUGGUCUUGAGUAUCGGAGAGGCAGGCGGAAUUCCUAGUGUAGCGGUGAAAUGCGUAGAUAUUAGGAGGAACACCAGUGGCGAAGGCGGCCUGCUGGACGACAACUGACGGUGAGGCGCGAAAGCGUGGGGAGCAAACAGGAUUAGAUACCCGAGUAGUC
Molecule: ribosomal RNA, 442 nt
Filed under: uncultured bacterium
Lineage: Bacteria
Description: partial 16S ribosomal RNA
Rfam family: Bacterial small subunit ribosomal RNA
Source: RNAcentral